RNAcentral lists this long non-coding RNA (346 nucleotides) under Mytilus galloprovincialis (Mediterranean mussel). Lineage: Eukaryota; Metazoa; Mollusca; Bivalvia; Mytilida; Mytilidae. The record is from RNAcentral.
UUUUUUCAUUAACAACUGACUAUUAUGAAUUUGAGGUUUUAGAAAUAUCAAUUUGAAAAAAUGCAAGUUUCAAACUGUAUUGAAAUAUAUGCGAAAAUAAUCAAAAAGAGUUUAUAGUGUGAUAGUUGGUUAUAUAUGCAGAAUGUUUUAUACUUUGUUAGUAGGAAUAGUUCCGUCCAUAUGUGAAAGUGGUGAGAGGUUUAACAAUUGUUUUAUUAAUUCGUCUAAUUUGUUGCUAUGAGUUCAUGUAGAGAAAUUUUCAAAAUGUCGAGUGAAUUGCUUUAGCACUACCUCAUAUGGCAUAACUUAACUGCAAAAUGAUGUUAGUUAUAAUUUGUUAAAGGGA